UGGAGAGCACACGGUAUUCUUUAGU
Molecule: small nuclear RNA, 25 nt
Filed under: Arabidopsis thaliana (thale cress)
Lineage: Eukaryota; Viridiplantae; Streptophyta; Magnoliopsida; Brassicales; Brassicaceae
Description: snRNA_06998
Source: RNAcentral